Oncorhynchus kisutch (coho salmon) is the source of this 1057-nucleotide non-coding RNA. NCBI's taxonomy places the organism in Eukaryota, Metazoa, Chordata, Actinopteri, Salmoniformes, Salmonidae. The record is from the annotation of a RefSeq genome assembly.
AGUUUCAGACUGUGGGACUGAGAUCUGUCUUGAUACUUUAGGACUUCAGUGUUAUCAUUGUUGUGUUCAGUCUGUUGUCUUCUCAGAGCCACAGAUGAUGAUGAAGAUGAUGAAGAUGAUAUCACUGAUUCCACUGCUGAUCACACUGGGGCUCCUGACUCAGGAAUCGUCUGCUGGAGUUGUGACUCAGUCUCCUACUGUCAAGUCUGUUCGUCUGGGAGAGACUGUAUAUCUGAGCUGCACAGCCAGUAAGGGGGUGGGUAAUGACCUGAGCUGGUACCUGCAGAAACCUGGACAGUCCCCUCAACUCCUCUUCUAUAAAAUAAGUCGACGUCAGUCUGAAACUCCUGGUCAUUUCAGUAGCAGUGGAUCUCAACCAGAUUUUACUCUGACCAUCAGUGUAGUCGAGGCUGAGGAUGUAGGAGAUUACUACUGCAUGGGUUCGUACACUGAUGAGAACACAGUGAUUUAGAGUCGUACAAAAACCUCCCUCAGUCAGACUGCCCAGAAACUGUACUGCUACAGCUGGGGCCUACUGCAGCAACAGACUAUUACAUGAAACACUGGUCCACUGAACACACAGCGUCAGACAGUCCCACACCAAGACAAUGUUACUCUGGUUACUCACGACAGGAUCAUAGUUCACCCAACCACCUCCUCUACACAACCACAACCUUUAGUUCACCUCUGGAGUGGUCAGAUAAAAAUGAAUUGUGUAAAACAGACAUCAUUAUUUGUCAAAAAGAACAUGUAGUGUUAGCUCUACUCAUUGUAUUUCUAUCUUUAAUGUUUUAAACGUUUCAUCUCACUGCAGGCUUGAUUUGCAUGGUCAGGGUCAGAUGGUUUAGCUUCUACUAGUUUGGAGAAGUUCUGUCCCCAGGGGGUCGGUCAGACAGAGUCUGAGAGAGUGAGAGAGAUUGAAAAAGCAGAACACACAUUCAACAAAUAGUCAUUUGGUCUGAGGAAGAGAAAUAUAAAUCUGACAAAGAAUUAGAUCUAGCUGUAGAUACAUUUCCAUUUGUUGUCACAGUAAAUAAAUGAGUCAACUAAUCCAUCA